UCUGCAGACAUAUUAAAUUAGGUGUAAUAGAGAUGGACCGAGUUCUGCUUUAGAUUUUAAUUAAUCUGAUGCUCAUUGAACAACUUCAAUAUCAUUAAUUGCAUGUGCAUCUUAUACAAUGGAUUUGGCUAGGAGAAAACAAGUUGUAACAAUCCAAGGCACUGCCACGAAGGCAGUAAGCAAUUAUGUACUGUGAAUAAGUAGGUAUCCAGUGUUUGAGCUCAUUCCCUGAUGCUCUUUUACUUGACAGUAGGGUAUCUGCAGUCAGUGCAGCUAAUGGGCAUCUCCAGAGGAUGAGAUGAAUUAUCCUCUGGAAAGACUUACCUCUGCUGUUGAUCAUAGUUGAAAACUAAGCAAUAAGCUUAGAUUAAACAAUCAGCUUUUAAACAGUUUGAAUUAGGUAUGAUUAAUCCCAUCUUGUAAACUACUUGAGCUGCUCUGAGGGCACCCAGGUUCCUUGUGAACUCAAUGAAGAAGGCUAGAUUUUCUUGAAGAUACCGCAAGGAAAUCCAAUUAGUUUAACUUUGUUAAACCGAAGCAGGUAGAAUCACCCUCUUGAGGUCUUCAGAUGAAAUAAACUCUUACUGUUGACUAUCCAGGAAACUUAAGCACUUGUUUUAUAAAGAUUGCUUCCACUAACUCAUGCAAUUUGGGUGUAUGGUGUCUAAUAAAGGUGCAUUGACUUCCUUUCCAGGUUUCAUUAUUUCUGGUGCUCAGUGAACAACCUUAACAUCAGUAGAGAUAUCAAAGUUUCAUAUUAAAAUUUAUGCUUAUGCUGUUGAUUUUUUUUGCUGUUACCGCAAUGGCAGAUCAGAAACUGACAAAAGAAAAGCAGGAAAGCAGGGAAAUGGCAACCAUUAAAACUGGAGUCAGUACUACCAAUAUAAAACCAAAAGCAACCCCUCAGAAAGAACAGCAACAGAGUUAUUUAGAAAGCCCUUGCUUUUUCGCUUUUAUGUAUAUGUAAGUAUAUGAAGAUCAGUUUUAUUAACUAGUGGUAUUGAGAAAAGACAAAGAAACACAUUUUAAAUUACAUUAUAGCUAUGUUCUUAA
RNAcentral lists this long non-coding RNA (1053 nucleotides) under Anas platyrhynchos platyrhynchos (common mallard). RNAcentral's name for it is "lncRNA (ENSAPLG00000020596.1)". The record is from RNAcentral. Lineage: Eukaryota; Metazoa; Chordata; Aves; Anseriformes; Anatidae.